Non-coding RNA from Pelobates cultripes (western spadefoot toad), 372 nucleotides. The record is from the annotation of a GenBank genome assembly. NCBI's taxonomy places the organism in Eukaryota, Metazoa, Chordata, Amphibia, Anura, Pelobatidae.
UGGGGUGCUCUAUAUUCAAGGUAAGUUUAAUGGGAGUUGACCCAAUAGGUUUGCUUAAAGUCAUUCUGGAGAGUAGGGGUUUUCCAUCUUUGUCAAUCCUGUCCAAUGCACUCUGGGGUCUGUAGCCCCAUGGUCUACCCGUAUUCCACCCGGCGGCUUUCCAUGAACUACAAUGAUGCCCCCAUACUCCUCCAGUCACACAAAUGUAGGGAUCCUUCUUAUUAGGUAUGUCUUUGUAUAUGGCUGCAUAUUGUGUUUGUGGAAAGGUGCAAACAACUAUGUCACAGUAGUCAAAUGUAUAUGUGGCCACAUCUGUGUUAGAGGAGUUAUACCAGAAGGUGUAAACAUGAUUAUCUUUGGUUAUGGCCACUU